Molecule: ribosomal RNA, 2073 nt
Filed under: Triactinomyxon type sp. TGR-2014
Lineage: Eukaryota; Metazoa; Cnidaria; Myxozoa
Description: SSU rRNA
Rfam family: Eukaryotic small subunit ribosomal RNA
Source: RNAcentral
ACCUGGUUGAUCCUGCCAGUAGGCAUACGCUUGUCUCUAAGACUAAGCCAUGCAUGUCAAAGUUCAUACAUUCAUAAUGUGAGACUGCGGAAGGCUCAGUAAAUCAGUUAUAAUCUAUUUGAUUGUUCUUCCCAUUGGAUAACCGUGGGAAAUCUAGAGCUAAUACAUGCAAUUAAUUGAUUGGCCUCAAAAACUAAUCAAAGCAUUUAUUAGAUCAAAACCAACUAUGGAUGGGGGUAAAACUUCAUUCAUAAGGUGAAUCUAGAUAACUUUGCUGAUCGUAUGGCCUUGUGCCGGCGACAUUUCAAUUGAAUUUCUGCCCUAUCAACUUGUUGGUAAGGUAGUGGCUUACCAAGGUUACAACGGGUAACGGGGAAUCAGGGUUCGAUUCCGGAGAGGGAGCCUGAGAAAUGGCUACCACAUCCAAGGGAGGCAGCAGGCGCGCAAAUUACCCAAUCCAGAAUCUGGGAGGUGGUGACGAGAAAUACUAGAUGGUUUCCUCACGGAUGCCAUACUGGAAUGGACGUAAUUUAAGAAAUUCGAUGAGUAACAACUGGAGGGCAAGUCUGGUGCCAGCAGCCGCGGUAAUUCCAGCUCCAGUAGUGUAUCUUAAAGUUGCUGCGUUUAAAACGCUCGUAGUUGGAUUACGCAGUAUAAUCUAGUCGAUUGGUAUGAGGCUGCGCCAAAUUCAAUUGAUCGCACACUUAGCCACGGUUCAUCCUGGUUAUAUGUGUUGUCUCUUGAUGCAGUUCGUGCCGAUUAACAGCUAUUUUAUACUACUUUUUCGUGAGGAUGGCAGUUGACCUUUAUUGCGUCGGCAGUCGUGUCUUACGAAGCGUGCCUUGAAUAAAUCAGAGUGCUUAAAACAGGCUUUUGCUUGAAUAUCGAUAGCAUGGAACGAACAAUUGUGUUAAAUGUGUCCGAUAGAAAGCUAGGGAGGGUUUUAUAUUGGAUGUUGGUUCCGUAUUGGGGUGAUGAUUAAAAGGAGCGGUUGGGGGCAUUGGUAUUUUGCCGCGAGAGGUGAAAUUCUUGGACCGGCAAAGGACUAACAAAUGCGAAGGCAUCUGUCAAGACCGUUUCCAUUAAUCAAGAACGAUAGUGAGAGGUUCGAAGGCGAUCAGAUACCGCCCUAGUUCUCACUGUAAACUAUGCCAACCCGGGAUCAGUUUUGAGCUUUUUUAUGCUCAUGGUUGGUCCCCCUGCGAAACCUCAAGUUUUUAGGUUACGGGGGGAGUAUGGUCGCAAGGCUGAAACUUAAAGGAAUUGACGGAAGGGCACCACCAGGGGUGGAGCCUGCGGCUUAAUUUGACUCAACACGGGAAAACUCACCUGGUCCGGACAUCGAAAGGAUAGACAGACUGAUAGAUCUUUCUUGAUACGGUGGAUGGUGGUGCAUGGCCGUUCUUAGUUCGUGGAGUGAUCUGUCAGGUUGAUUCCGGUAACGGACGAGACCAUAAUUUUCAUUUAAGGAACCAGAGAAGACCAUAGGCGGGUUCGCCCAACUAUGGCGUCAUGGUAGAGGAGUGUGUAUUGUGCUGUAAUCACAUUGAUACGAGGAGCUUCUGUUCUGAGUUGAGGUGUGAGAGUGGUCGAUAUAUCAUUUACUUUCCCUCUGGUCAAACACUGUAGAUCUCACGGUCUAUGGUGUUCUAUGAAAAGACAACCAAGUAUACUUUAGAAGUUGGAGGAAGCUUUUGGCAAUAACAGGUCUGUGAUGCCCUUAGAUGUCCAGGGCCGCACGCGCGCUACAAUGAUAACAACAAUGAGUAUCUGUGUCGAAAGACUUGGGUAAUCUUAUCAAUUGUUAUCGUGAUGGGGAUUGAUCGUUGUAAUUAUCGGUCAUGAAAGAGGAAUCCCUAGUAUGCGUACGUCAUUAGCGUAUGCAGAUUAAGUCCCUGCCCUUUGUACACACCGCCCGUCGCUACUACCGAGUGAAUCGUGUCAUGAUGCCUUGGGACUGGAUAGCAGUCAGGUGUGGUUUCACAUCAGAUUGCUGCUAGGAUCAAUGUAAAAUGGCGCAAUUUCGAGGAAGUAAAAGUCGUAACAAGGUUUCCGUAGGUGAACCUGCGGAAG